This 965-nucleotide long non-coding RNA is filed under the name Mus pahari (shrew mouse). RNAcentral describes it as "predicted gene 15124 (MGP_PahariEiJ_G0003962.1)". The record is from RNAcentral. Lineage: Eukaryota; Metazoa; Chordata; Mammalia; Rodentia; Muridae.
UGUCUUUUGACUUUGUAUCACAGGCAGUCUCAGUGGGACAUAACUGCAUCUUGGGCUUCUUGGAAUAGGACCAGAACUAAAUUUCUAUUUAGCAGCGGGGAACCCGGCGGGGAUGUGGGGAAACACAGGGGAAGUAAGGAACAUUUUGACUCCAACUGGCUUGAUCUAGUGUUGUUUAGCUGUUCUAACCAAGCAGAAACAUCCGUGACCCAGGCCUGGUCGCACAUGUCUGCCCUGCCGUCUUGCCUGCGAGCUGGAUGCACAAUGAUUACUACAAGUUCAAGGUCAGCCGAGGACUCCCAGGCCAAGCAGGUCUAUACACUGAGACCCUGCGUCAGCAAGUCAAGGAAAUCAAGCCAAAAAGUGUGGCAGUACACACCUCCCAACGCUCACUCCCACAUCUGAGGCAGGAGGAUCACAUGUUCCAGGCUUGAACUACAGAGCAAGACCCUGUCUCAGACAUUAAAAAGGAAAACGGAUGUGAGGCUGUAGCUGAGGUCUCAGGUUCAUCCCUGGCCUGGAGAAAUGGCACAGGUCUGUCACCCCGACACUCGGAAAGUGUACCCAAGCUUAUCCUGGGCUAGGCUUCAAGUUCAAGGGUAGUCUGGGCUCCACAAGACGCCUCCUUUGCUCAGAGACCCAUUUAUUCCUCCUUGUGGGUCCUGCCGACCAAGAGCUAAGACAGAGCAUGUGUGCAGGGAGUUGUUGCCACCCGAGAGGCUGAGACAAGCCAAGCCACCCCCCCCCCCCGCCCAGCAGAUGGAGCAGAAGCCUCAAGGCUUUCUUGUGAUCACUGGGGAAACAUGAAGAACACAGCUUCCAGAUUGCUCAGCGGUUAAGAGCACUGACUGCUCUUCCUAGAGGUCCUGAGUUCAAAUCCCAGCAACCACAUGAUGGCUCACAAUGGGAUCCAAUGCUCUCUUCUGGUGUGUAUGAAGACACAGACCGACAGUGUAUUCAUAUAA